Molecule: long non-coding RNA, 275 nt
Filed under: Lathyrus oleraceus (garden pea)
Lineage: Eukaryota; Viridiplantae; Streptophyta; Magnoliopsida; Fabales; Fabaceae
Description: Pisum sativum (pea) long non-coding RNA (PSAT_LNC028353)
Source: RNAcentral
GCAGAGGAGGCCUCAUGUCAGAAGAAGUUCUCAACCACGUUAGGAUCAACAUCAAGUUUCUUCAGUGAUUCCUGUAUUUUCCAACAAUUCCAAUAAUCAAUUUGUUCCGAUUCAACAACAACAGCGUCCACAACAACCGCAACAAAGAACCAACAACAACAACAACAAUAAUCAACAACAAAAUUUUGAGAGGAAGAAGGUCUCUUUUGACCCUAUUCCUAUGUCUUACACCGAAUUAUAUCCAUCUUUGGUUCUCAAGAACCUACUUCAACCCA